ACUAACGCUGGCGGCGUGCCUAAUACAUGCAAGUCGAACGGUCAUGCAGUUGUAGCAAUAUGAUUGUAUGAUAGUGGCGAACGGGUGAGUAACACGUGGAAAACCUACCUUCGAGCGGGGGAUAACUCCGGGAAACUGGGGCUAAUACCGCAUAACAUCACUGGGAGGCAUCUCUCGGUGAUCAAUGUCGCAAGACACUUGAAGAUGGGUCCGCGUCCCAUCAGCUAGUUGGCGGGGUAACGGCCCACCAAGGCUUUGACGGGUAGCCGGCUUGAGAGAGCGAACGGCCACAAGGGGACUGAGACACGGCCCCUACUCCUACGGGAGGCAGCAGUAGGGAAUUUUGGUCAAUGGGGGAAACCCUGAACCAGCGACGCCGCGUGGGUGAUGAAGUCCUUCGGGAUGUAAAACCCUUUUUAUCGGGACGAAAGAAAAAUGACGGUACCGGUAGAAUAAGCCACGGCUAACUCCGU
Molecule: ribosomal RNA, 473 nt
Filed under: uncultured bacterium
Lineage: Bacteria
Description: bacterial SSU rRNA
Rfam family: Bacterial small subunit ribosomal RNA
Source: RNAcentral